Molecule: ribosomal RNA, 497 nt
Filed under: uncultured bacterium
Lineage: Bacteria
Description: partial 16S ribosomal RNA
Rfam family: Bacterial small subunit ribosomal RNA
Source: RNAcentral
GAUGAACGCUGGCGGCGUGCCUAAUACAUGCAAGUCGAGCGAGCGGACGAGAAGCUUGCUUCUCUGAUGUUAGCGGCGGACGGGUGAGUAACACGUGGAUAACCUACCUAUAAGACUGGGAUAACUUCGGGAAACCGGAGCUAAUACCGGAUAAUAUUUUGAACCGCAUGGUUCAAAAGUGAAAGACGGUCUUGCUGUCACUUAUAGAUGGAUCCGCGCUGCAUUAGCUAGUUGGUAAGGUAACGACUUACCAAGGCCACGAUGCAUAGCCGACCUGAGAGGCUGAUCGGCCACACUAGAUCUGAGACACCGUCCAGACUCCUAGAGGAGGCACCAACAUGGAAUCUACCGCAAUGGGCGAAAGCCUGACGGAGCAACGCCGCGUGAGUGAUGAAGGUCUUCGGAUCGUAAAACGCUGUAAAUAGGGAAGAACAUAUGUCUAAGUAACUGGGCACAUCUUGACGGUACCUAAUCAAAAAUCCACGGCUAACUACUUG